AGUGAACGCUGGCGGUAGGCCUAACACAUGCAAGUCGAACGGCAGCACAGUAAGAGCUUGCUCUUACGGGUGGCGAGUGGCGGACGGGUGAGGAAUACAUCGGAAUCUACUUUUUCGUGGGGGAUAACGUAGGGAAACUUACGCUAAUACCGCAUACGACCUACGGGUGAAAGCAGGGGAUCUUCGGACCUUGCGCGAUUGAAUGAGCCGAUGUCGGAUUAGCUAGUUGGCGGGGUAAAGGCCCACCCAGGCGACGAUCCGUAGCUGGUCUGAGAGGAUGAUCAGCCACACUAGAACUGAGACACGGUCCAGACUCCUACGGGAGGCAGCAGUGGGGAAUAUUGGACAAUGGGCGCAAGCCUGAUCCAGCCAUACCGCGUGGGUGAAGAAGGCCUUCGGGUUGUAAAGCCCUUUUGUUGGGAAAGAAAAGCAGCAGGUUAAUACCCCGCUGUUCUGACGGUACCCAAAGAAUAAGCACCGGCUAACUUCGUG
Molecule: ribosomal RNA, 492 nt
Filed under: uncultured bacterium
Lineage: Bacteria
Description: partial 16S ribosomal RNA
Rfam family: Bacterial small subunit ribosomal RNA
Source: RNAcentral